RNAcentral lists this ribosomal RNA (524 nucleotides) under uncultured archaeon. RNAcentral's name for it is "partial 16S ribosomal RNA". The record is from RNAcentral.
UUUACGCUCCACCCGUUGUGGUGCUCCCCCGCCAAUUCCUUUAAGUUUCAGCCUUGCGGCCGUACUUCCCAGGUGGCUCGCUUCACGGCUUCCCUACGGCACCGACAACGGUCGCACCGUGGCCGACACCUAGCGAGUAUCGUUUACGGCUAGGACUACCCGGGUAUCUAAUCCGGUUCGUGCCCCUAGCUUUCGUCCCUUGCCGUCAGGUCCGAUUCUGGUGAGACGCCUUCGCCACUGGUGGUCCUUCAAGGAUUACAAGAUUUCACCCCUACCCCUGAAGUACCUCUCACCUCUCCCGGCCUCGAGCCGAACAGUAUCUCCUGAAAGCCCAACAGUUGAGCUGCUGGAUUUCUCAAGAGACUUAUCCGGCCGGCUACAGACCCUUUAGACCCAAUAAUAACGGUUACCACUCGAGCCGCCGGUGUUACCGCGGCGGCUGGCACGGUCUUGCCCGGCCCUUGCUAUGCAAUGCUUUUUAGGCAUCACGACAGCCAGAUUUGUAACCUGGCACUCGAGGUCCC